CACGUACACCACAGACGUCACCGCGCUCACACGACUGACCCCCCGCGGACCCGCACGGUUUGGUUACACUGUUAAUGAUCACAGAAAUGGGCCUAUAUAGUCAACUUUAGGCCUAGUCUACUACUACCAAUCUGUGGUAUUAUAAGCAUUUCAACUGCCAGAGAAAUGGAUGGAAAUGACCGAUGGACAAAUAUCAACCUGCUAUUGAUAACUAGGCGAUGUGAGGGUGUUUUGCGAAUAUCAGACAACGACUGUUUCUAAACUUCAUGUGCAGCAGAACGCUCUCCUCUCUCUCCUUGCGCCCUCUGACCUGUAGGUGUUCUCUUUUCUCAUAUGGCAGAGAGGGAGAGAGACAGCGAGUGAGCGAGAGAGUUAGAACCCUCAAUGUCUCAAAUCCUAAUCCUGCGAUAAGAAACAGCAGCCUUAGUUGGCCGGUGGUAGCUGGUCCCCUACAAGACGGUGAGGUGCCGGAGGUCCCUCCGCCCCCUCUAGACAUCAAGGGGUCCCCGGCGUACACAGUAUGUGCUAUUCUGGACUCGAGAAGCCGGGUGAGGGGCCUGCAGUACCUCGUGGACUGGGAGAGGUACAGCCCGGAGGAGAGGUGCUGGGUACCGGUGGGGGUACCGGUGGGGGACAUCCUGGAUCCAUCACUGUUGAGGGAUUUCCAUCGCCUCCAUCCGGAUCGCCCUACGCCUCGCCCUCCGGGUCGGCGCACUGCGGGAGCCGCGCGUCGGGGGGGAUACUUUCAGGAUUCCUACUGAGGGUGACUCCUCUCCCUGUUCGGGUGGCGCUCGGCGGUCGUCGUCACCGGCCUACUAGCUGCCACCGAUCCCUUUUUCCCUUUCUGUUUGUUUUGUCUAAUUAGUUUCACCUGUUUUCAUUUAGGCUUGUUAGUUGGGCUAUUUAAGCCAGUAGGCCCGCCUGUUCUUUGUGCGGACUUAAUGAUCCUUCCACUGUGUUCUGUGUGGUGGAUAGUAUAUUUUGGGCGUUUGUAUUUUGGUGCGCCCGACAUUUUGGGCAAAUUACUUUUGUGCGUAAUAAAGCGCAACCUUGAA
Molecule: long non-coding RNA, 1055 nt
Filed under: Salmo salar (Atlantic salmon)
Lineage: Eukaryota; Metazoa; Chordata; Actinopteri; Salmoniformes; Salmonidae
Description: lncRNA (ENSSSAG00000108532.1)
Source: RNAcentral